This 460-nucleotide ribosomal RNA is filed under the name uncultured bacterium. RNAcentral's name for it is "partial 16S ribosomal RNA". It matches the Rfam family "Bacterial small subunit ribosomal RNA", at positions 338 to 795 of the family's 1533-position model. The record is from RNAcentral.
CCUACGGGAGGCAGCAGUGAGGAAUAUUGGUCAAUGGCCGGAAGGCUGAACCAGCCAAGUCGCGUGAGGGAUGAAGGCCCUGCGGGUUGUAAACCUCUUUUGUCGGGGAAUAAAGUGCCGCACGUGUGCGGUUUUGAGGGUACCUGAAGAAUAAGCAUCGGCUAACUCCGUGCCAGCAGCCGCGGUAAUACGGAGGAUGCGAGCGUUAUCCGGAUUUAUUGGGUUUAAAGGGUGCGGAGAGGGGCUGUUAAGGCAGUGGUGAAAGUUGGGGGGUCAACCCUCACCUUGCAAUUGAAACUGGCGGCCUUGAGUGCAGCGGAGGUAUGCGGAAUGCGUGGUGUAGCGGUGAAAUGCAUAGAUAUCACGAAGAACUCCGAUUGCGAAGGCAGCGUACUGAACCGCCACUGACGCUGAUGCACGAAAGCGUGGGUAUCGAACAGGAUUAGAUACCCUAGUAGUC